Molecule: ribosomal RNA, 881 nt
Filed under: Aspergillus inflatus
Lineage: Eukaryota; Fungi; Ascomycota; Eurotiomycetes; Eurotiales; Aspergillaceae
Description: LSU rRNA
Rfam family: Eukaryotic large subunit ribosomal RNA
Source: RNAcentral
GCAUAUCAAUAAGCGGAGGAAAAGAAACCAACCGGGAUUGCCUCAGUAACGGCGAGUGAAGCGGCAAGAGCUCAAAUUUGAAAUCUGGCCCCUCCGGGGUCCGAGUUGUAAUUUGCAGAGGAUGCUUCGGGCGCAGCCCCCGUCUAAGUGCCCUGGAACGGGCCGUCAUAGAGGGUGAGAAUCCCGUCUGGGACGGGGUGUCUGUGUCCGUGUGAAGCUCCUUCGACGAGUCGAGUUGUUUGGGAAUGCAGCUCUAAAUGGGUGGUAAAUUUCAUCUAAAGCUAAAUACUGGCCGGAGACCGAUAGCGCACAAGUAGAGUGAUCGAAAGAUGAAAAGCACUUUGAAAAGAGAGUUAAACAGCACGUGAAAUUGUUGAAAGGGAAGCGCUUGCGACCAGACUCGCCCGCGGGGUUCAGCCGGCCUUUGGGCCGGUGUACUUCCCCGCGGACGGGCCAGCGUCGGUUUGGGCGGCCGGUCAAAGGCCCCGGGAAUGUAUCGCCCUCCGGGGCGUCUUAUAGCCCGGGGUGCAAUGCGGCCUGCCCGGACCGAGGAACGCGCUUCGGCACGGACGCUGGCAUAAUGGUCGUAAGCGACCCGUCUUGAAACACGGACCAAGGAGUCUAACAUCUACGCGAGUGUUCGGGUGUCAAACCCGUGCGCGGAGUGAAAGCGAACGGAGGUGGGAGCCCCUCGGGGCGCACCAUCGACCGAUCCUGAUGUCUUCGGAUGGAUUUGAGUAAGAGCGUAAAUGUGGGGACCCGAAAGAUGGUGAACUAUGCCUGAAUAGGGCGAAGCCAGAGGAAACUCUGGUGGAGGCUCGCAGCGGUUCUGACGUGCAAAUCGAUCGUCGAAUUUGGGUAUAGGGCGAAAGACUAAUCGA